AGAAGGUUUUCGGAUCGUAAAGCUCUGUUGUUGGUGAAGAAGGAUAGAGGUAGUAACUGGCCCCUAUUUGACGGUAAUCAACCAGAAAGUCACGGCUAACUACGUGCCAGCAGCCGCGGUAAUACGUAGGUGGCAAGCGUUGUCCGGAUUUAUUGGGCGUAAAGCGAGCGCAGGCGGAAAGAUAAGUCUGAUGUGAAAGCCCCCGGCUUAACCGAGGAAUUGCAUCGGAAACUGUGUUUCUUGAGUGCAGAAGAGGAGAGUGGAACUCCAUGUGUAGCGGUGGAAUGCGUAGAUAUAUGGAAGAACACCAGUGGCGAAGGCGGCUCUCUGGUCUGUAACUGACGCUGAGGCUCGAAAGCAUGGGUAGCGAACAGGAUUAGAUACCCUGGUAGUCCAUGCCGUAAACGAUGAGUGCUAAGUGUUGGGAGGUUUCCGCCUCUCAGUGCUGCAGCUAACGCAUUAAGCACUCCGCCUGGGGAGUACGACCGCAAGGUUGAAACUCAAAGGAAUUGACGGGGGCCCGCACAAGCGGUGGAGCAUGUGGUUUAAUUCGAAGCAACGCGAAGAACCUUACCAGGUCUUGACAUCUAGUGCCAUCCUAAGAGAUUAGGAGUUCCCUUCGGGGACGCUAAGACAGGUGGUGCAUGGCUGUCGUCAGCUCGUGUCGUGAGAUGUUGGGCUAAGUCCCGCAACGAGCGCAACCCUUGUUAUUAGUUGCCAGCAUUAAGUUGGGCACUCUAAUGAGACUGCCGGUGACAAU
RNAcentral lists this ribosomal RNA (760 nucleotides) under Lactobacillus intestinalis. Its description in RNAcentral is "bacterial SSU rRNA". It matches the Rfam family "Bacterial small subunit ribosomal RNA", at positions 409 to 1162 of the family's 1533-position model. The record is from RNAcentral. Lineage: Bacteria; Bacillati; Bacillota; Bacilli; Lactobacillales; Lactobacillaceae.